This is a non-coding RNA of Mycena latifolia, 95 nucleotides long. NCBI's taxonomy places the organism in Eukaryota, Fungi, Basidiomycota, Agaricomycetes, Agaricales, Mycenaceae. The record is from the annotation of a GenBank genome assembly.
GCGUCCGUGGUGUAGCGGUAACACACAAUCUUCGACUUAUAUCAAUAUUAAAAUGGUUUGAGAUUGGGUCCGGGGUUCGAGCCCCCGAGGACGCA